This is a long non-coding RNA of Oxyura jamaicensis (ruddy duck), 516 nucleotides long. RefSeq lists it as uncharacterized. The transcript is spliced from 3 exons. The record is from RefSeq and is a predicted model, not a curated record. Lineage: Eukaryota; Metazoa; Chordata; Aves; Anseriformes; Anatidae.
GCCCCCCCCCAUCCUUUUCUUGCCCCUCCCUCAGAUUUUUUUGAGGACAAAACCUUCUUCCUCUACGGAGACUUCGCGGCCCCCGAGCGGCGCCUGCUGCAGCGCUACGUGACCGCCUUCGGGGGGACGUUGGCCCAGUACAUGAGCGAGAAGGUGACGCACGUGGUGACGGCACAGGAGUGGGACGAGACCUUCGAGGAGGCGCUGGAGCUGAACCCGUCGCUGGCCUUCGUGCGGCCCCGCUGGGUGCUGCUGUGCGGGGAGCGCCUGCGCCCGCUGCCGGCCCAGCCCUUCGCCGUCGUGCCCCGCGCCUGAGCCCCGUGACGUCAUCGUGACGUCGUCGUGACGUCAUCCUGGCAUCACUGCGACAUCGUCGUGACAUCGCUGGACCUCAUCAUUUUGGACCCUUGGCACCUCGCCCUCCGUCGCCCUCCACAUCACAGGCGGGGCUCGCCCCCCUCCCCCCAUUUCCGUUUUGGGUCAUUUUUGGCCGAAUUAAAGGUGUUUUGCUAAAAA